This 211-nucleotide long non-coding RNA is filed under the name Fukomys damarensis (Damara mole-rat). Its description in RNAcentral is "lncRNA (ENSFDAG00000025513.1)". The record is from RNAcentral. Lineage: Eukaryota; Metazoa; Chordata; Mammalia; Rodentia; Bathyergidae.
GUUUUUAUUGAUUGACCUCUAGUCUCCUUUCUGUUGGAGACUGAAUAGAUAUCACAUGGCCUCAGGUCCCCAUGGAACUUCACAUCGUUAAAUAGCCAGUAACAAGGAUAAGUGAAGACACCAGUGUUAGGAAGCAUGGACUAAGCCGACUGCAGAGGCGAGACUUCUCCACGUAUGCAAGGGUCAUGGAGAAUGCACCAGAAGACAGGAG